This 484-nucleotide ribosomal RNA is filed under the name uncultured bacterium. Its description in RNAcentral is "partial 16S ribosomal RNA". It matches the Rfam family "Bacterial small subunit ribosomal RNA", at positions 30 to 507 of the family's 1533-position model. The record is from RNAcentral.
AUUGAACGCUGGCGGGAUGCUUUACACAUGCAAGUCGAACGGCAGCGCGGACUUCGGUCUGGCGGCGAGUGGCGAACGGGUGAGUAAUGUAUCGGAACGUGCCCAGUAGCGGGGGAUAACUACGCGAAAGCGUAGCUAAUACCGCAUACGCCCUACGGGGGAAAGCAGGGGAUCGUAAGACCUUGCACUAUUGGAGCGGCCGAUAUCGGAUUAGCUAGUUGGUGAGGUAACGGCUCACCAAGGCGACGAUCCGUAGCUGGUUUGAGAGGACGACCAGCCACACUGGGACUGAGACACGGCCCAGACUCCUACGGGAGGCAGCAGUGGGGAAUUUUGGACAAUGGGGGCAACCCUGAUCCAGCCAUCCCGCGUGUGCGAUGAAGGCCUUCGGGUUGUAAAGCACUUUUGGCAGGAAAGAAACGUCGCGGGCUAAUACCCCGUGGAACUGACGGUACCUGCAGAAUAAGCACCGGCUAACUACGUG